AGUAACGCGUGAGUAACCUGCCUCAUACAGGGGAAUAACAGUUAGAAAUGACUGCUAAUGCCGCAUAAGCGCACAGGGCCGCAUGGCCCGGUGUGAAAAACUCCGGUGGUAUGAGAUGGACUCGCGUCUGAUUAGCUAGUUGGUGAGGUAACGGCCCACCAAGGCGACGAUCAGUAGCCGGCCUGAGAGGGUGAACGGCCACAUUGGGACUGAGACACGGCCCAA
Molecule: ribosomal RNA, 225 nt
Filed under: uncultured bacterium
Lineage: Bacteria
Description: partial 16S ribosomal RNA
Rfam family: Bacterial small subunit ribosomal RNA
Source: RNAcentral